CGCUAUCACUCCUACGGGAGGCAGCAGUGGGGAAUAUUGCACAAUGGGCGCAAGCCUGAUGCAGCCAUGCCGCGUGUGUGAAGAAGGCCUUCGGGUUGUAAAGCACUUUCAGUAGGGAGGAAGGUAGUGUAGUUAACACCUGCAUUAUUUGACGUUACCUACAGAAGAAGCACCGGCUAACUCCGUGCCAGCAGCCGCGGUAAUACGGAGGGUGCGAGCGUUAAUCGGAAUUACUGGGCGUAAAGCGCAUGCAGGCGGCCUGUUAAGUCAGAUGUGAAAGCCCGGGGCUUAACCUCGGAAUUGCAUUUGAAACUGGCAGGCUAGAGUCUUGUAGAGGGGGUAGAAUUUCAGGUGUGCGGUGAAAUGCGUAGAGAUCUGAAGGAAUACCAGUGGCGAAGGCGGCCCCCUGGACAAAGACUGACGCUCAGAUGCGAAAGCGUGGGGAGCAAACAGGAUUAGAUACCCUGGUAG
This 471-nucleotide ribosomal RNA is filed under the name uncultured bacterium. RNAcentral's name for it is "bacterial SSU rRNA". It matches the Rfam family "Bacterial small subunit ribosomal RNA", at positions 328 to 793 of the family's 1533-position model. The record is from RNAcentral.